GACGAACGCUGGCGGCGUGCUUAACACAUGCAAGUCACGGGGGCCCGCAAGGGCAACCGGCGAACGGGUGCGUAACACGUGAGCAAUCUGCCGAUCUCUGGGGGAUAGCCAGCCUAACGGCUGGGUAAUACCGCAUACGCUCAUUGGGGGGAUUCCCCCGGUGAGGAAACCUCCGGGGGAGAUCGAGGAGCUCGCGACCUAUCAGCUAGUUGGCGGGGUAACGGCCCACCAAGGCAGCGACGGGUAGCUGGUCUGAGAGGAUGGCCAGCC
This 270-nucleotide ribosomal RNA is filed under the name uncultured bacterium. RNAcentral describes it as "partial 16S ribosomal RNA". It matches the Rfam family "Bacterial small subunit ribosomal RNA", at positions 28 to 309 of the family's 1533-position model. The record is from RNAcentral.